GACGAACGCUGGCGGCGUGCUUAACACAUGCAAGUCGAGCGGUAAGGCCCCUUCGGGGGUACACGAGCGGCGAACGGGUGAGUAACACGUGAGCAAUCUGCCCAUCACAUCGGGAUAACUCCGGGAAACCGAAGCUAAUACCGAAUACGACCACCUCCGGCAUCGGAUGGUGGUGGAAAGUUCCGGCGGUGAUGGAUGAGCUCGCGGCCUAUCAGCUUGUUGGUGGGGUAACGGCCCACCAAGGCUUCGACGGGUAGCCGGCCUGAGAGGGUGACCGGCCACACUGGGACUGAGACACGGCCCAGACUCCUACGGGAGGCAGCAGUGGGGAAUAUUGGACAAUGGGCGAAAGCCUGAUCCAGCAACGCCGCGUGAGGGAUGACGGCCUUCGGGUUGUAAACCUCUUUCAGCAGGGACGAAGCGCAAGUGACGGUACCUGCAGAAGAAGCACCGGUCAACUACGUG
Molecule: ribosomal RNA, 465 nt
Filed under: uncultured bacterium
Lineage: Bacteria
Description: partial 16S ribosomal RNA
Rfam family: Bacterial small subunit ribosomal RNA
Source: RNAcentral